RNAcentral lists this unclassified non-coding RNA (253 nucleotides) under uncultured Actinomycetes bacterium. RNAcentral describes it as "uncultured actinobacterium contains 16S-23S intergenic spacer region". It matches the Rfam family "Bacterial small subunit ribosomal RNA", at positions 524 to 776 of the family's 1533-position model. The record is from RNAcentral. Lineage: Bacteria; Bacillati; Actinomycetota; Actinomycetes.
GACGUAGGGGGCGAGCGUUGUCCGGAUUCAUUGGGCGUAAAGCGCGCGCAGGCGGCCCGUUAAGUCGGAUGUGAAAACCCGGGGCUCAACCCCGGGCCUGCACCCGAUACUGGCGGGCUCGAGGCAGGUAGGGGAGAUCGGAAUUCCCGGUGUAGCGGUGAAAUGCGCAGAUAUCGGGAGGAACACCGGUGGCGAAGGCGGAUCUCUGGGCCUGUCCUGACGCUGAGGCGCGAAAGCUGGGGGAGCAAACAGG